RNAcentral lists this long non-coding RNA (659 nucleotides) under Anas platyrhynchos platyrhynchos (common mallard). RNAcentral's name for it is "lncRNA (ENSAPLG00000021057.1)". Lineage: Eukaryota; Metazoa; Chordata; Aves; Anseriformes; Anatidae. The record is from RNAcentral.
AUAUUUUCCUCCUUAUUUAAUUUGCUGGAUAUGAGACAACCCUCCUGAACUUACUUCUCUCCUGGGAACACAGCCCCCCUCUCUUAUCAUACAUAUGCUACAGCACAUCCUGAGGAGAAGAGGAAGGAAUACUGGAGUGAUGAAAAGGGAUUUGGUGUGCAGCCCUCUCUGUAACUAAGCCCUGACUCUGUGAGUGGGAAAGAGCACAAGAGAGCUAUACAGCAGAGAUCAGACUGGAAAUUAUUGUAAAGGCUGUGACAAGAUGUUUGUGGUUUCUCUUCAGCUUGGCUACUUCUACUGCCAGUAGAAAAACAACAAACAAGCAAGCAAACAAAUACAAGCAAAACAAAAACAGUUUCUGCAGAAAAAUGAGCUGUAGGGCUCUGGCAGCAUGGAGCCUGCAGUGAGUGGAAGGUUCAUGGGAAAAGAGCCUACACAAGCAUCAUGACAAUACUGGCAAUAACAUAUGGUGAGAGUAAUAUUCAAGGCAUCUAGAGGUAAUUCCAUGCUCCACUGUUUUCCUUAUUUUGUGACUGGAAAAACUCACUUGUGAACUUAGCUUCUCUACCUCUUUGUAGAAAUAGUAUAAUCUUCAUUUCAUCUAUUUUUAGACCUUAAGGUCUGUCCCUAGGAUUUGUCCCUAACUCUGUAUUUGUGCU